Arabis alpina (gray rockcress) is the source of this 81-nucleotide non-coding RNA. The record is from Rfam. NCBI's taxonomy places the organism in Eukaryota, Viridiplantae, Streptophyta, Magnoliopsida, Brassicales, Brassicaceae.
GUUUUGGUGGUGAAAUGGUAGACACACGAGACUUAAAGUCUCGUGCUAAAAAGUGUGGAAGUUCGAAUCCUCUUCAAGACA